This 376-nucleotide ribosomal RNA is filed under the name Bacillus subtilis. RNAcentral's name for it is "partial 23S ribosomal RNA". It matches the Rfam family "Bacterial large subunit ribosomal RNA", at positions 1486 to 1860 of the family's 2925-position model. Lineage: Bacteria; Bacillati; Bacillota; Bacilli; Caryophanales; Bacillaceae. The record is from RNAcentral.
GUAAGCGCGGUAUUGGAUAUCCGCGUCCAAGCAGUUAGGCUGGGAAAUAGGCAAAUCCGUUUCCCAUAAGGCUGAGCUGUGAUGGCGAGCGAAAUAUAGUAGCGAAGUUCCUGAUUCCACACUGCCAAGAAAAGCCUCUAGCGAGGUGAGAGGUGCCCGUACCGCAAACCGACACAGGUAGGCGAGGAGAGAAUCCUAAGGUGAUCGAGAGAACUCUCGUUAAGGAACUCGGCAAAAUGACCCCGUAACUUCGGGAGAAGGGGUGCUCUGUUAGGGUGCAAGCCCGAGAGAGCCGCAGUGAAUAGGCCCAGGCGACUGUUUAGCAAAAACACAGGUCUCUGCGAAGCCGUAAGGCGAAGUAUAGGGGCUGACGCCU